This 539-nucleotide long non-coding RNA is filed under the name Rattus norvegicus (Norway rat). RNAcentral describes it as "long non-coding RNA NONRATT026636". The record is from RNAcentral. Lineage: Eukaryota; Metazoa; Chordata; Mammalia; Rodentia; Muridae.
UUAAGUGGGUGUGGGUGUCCAAGUGUUUGUUGUGUUUAAUGAAGCAAUUUCCCAUGAGUACCUUGGGAAACCAGGAACCAGGAAACAAGAGAAAGACAAGAAUGAGUUGGUACUGCAUUGCCAGCUGGAUGGCAGACACUCUUCCAGCCACUCUGGGCAGCAACCGUGGGAUAUUAGUUACUUCUCUGGUUGCUGUGAUAAAACUCCCUGACAACAAGCACCCUAGGACAGAAAGUGUUCGUUUGAGCUCACGGUUCGAGGGGAUACAGUUCACCGCAGAAAGCAUAGCAUAAGGCUUCAUCUCACAUUGUAUCUGCAGUUAUGAAGCAGAGAAAAAAAUGAAGCUAGCUAGCUUUCUCCUUUUUGUAGUCUAGGACCUCCCUCAUAGACUGGUGCUGCCCCAUUCAGAAAGAUGCCUUCCCUAAAUGACUAGAUUAAUCUAGAUUAGUCUAUAUCAUCCCUCACAGGCGUGACAAUAGUCUUGUCACCUAGGCGGUUCUAGCGCCUAUAGAGUUAACAAUCAAUAUUGACCAUCAAAC